CUUCUAUUUGAUUUAGUAGCACAAACUUCAAAGAGAGUGCUGCGAUCAUUCAUAGCUCGGAUAUCAUGGUGGCGGUGCACCUGCUGUGACCCUGGAGAGAGGACUGCCAUCACCAGAUAUGGAAACACUCAACCUUGGUUCACGAGGUCGUAACUCACUCUUGAUCGAGUAUUUGAGUUAUUGUGACUCUUAGGUACUCCGGGAGUCAAGUUUCGUUGGUGUAGCGAUGUGUUGGGGCAUCGCAAAUCACUGUUACUAGGCUAAGCGUCGUCAGUAUUAAAAGCAUGCCUUGAUCGUA
Trichoplusia ni (cabbage looper) is the source of this 298-nucleotide long non-coding RNA. RefSeq lists it as uncharacterized. The transcript has 2 exons. The record is from RefSeq and is a predicted model, not a curated record. NCBI's taxonomy places the organism in Eukaryota, Metazoa, Arthropoda, Insecta, Lepidoptera, Noctuidae.